AUCGCUUCUCGGCCUUUUGGCUAAGAUCAAAGUGUAGUAUCUGUUCUUAUUACGCUUGGGUUUUCUCCAAAUAUUGAGGAUCAGUAUCCGGCAUUAUGCGCAGCGAGAACACCUCAA
RNAcentral lists this small nuclear RNA (117 nucleotides) under Lottia gigantea (owl limpet). RNAcentral's name for it is "U2 spliceosomal RNA". It matches the Rfam family "U2 spliceosomal RNA". Rfam says of the family: U2 is a small nuclear RNA (snRNA) component of the spliceosome (involved in pre-mRNA splicing). Complementary binding between U2 snRNA (in an area lying towards the 5' end but 3' to hairpin I) and the branchpoint sequence (BPS) of the intron results the bulging out of an unpaired adenosine, on the BPS, which initiates a nucleophilic attack at the intronic 5' splice site, thus starting the first of two transesterification reactions that mediate splicing. The record is from Rfam by way of RNAcentral. Lineage: Eukaryota; Metazoa; Mollusca; Gastropoda; Lottiidae.